RNAcentral lists this ribosomal RNA (1372 nucleotides) under uncultured bacterium. Its description in RNAcentral is "bacterial SSU rRNA". It matches the Rfam family "Bacterial small subunit ribosomal RNA", at positions 28 to 1381 of the family's 1533-position model. The record is from RNAcentral.
GAUGAACGCUGGCGGCGUGCCUAAUACAUGCAAGUCGAGCGAACGGACGAGAAGCUUGCUUCUCUGAUGUUAGCGGCGGACGGGUGAGUAACACGUGGAUAACCUACCUAUAAGACUGGGAUAACUUCGGGAAACCGGAGCUAAUACCGGAUAAUAUUUUGAACCGCAUGGUUCAAAAGUGAAAGACGGUCUUGCUGUCACUUAUAGAUGGAUCCGCGCUGCAUUAGCUAGUUGGUAAGGUAACGGCUUACCAAGGCAACGAUGCAUAGCCGACCUGAGAGGGUGAUCGGCCACACUGGAACUGAGACACGGUCCAGACUCCUACGGGAGGCAGCAGUAGGGAAUCUUCCGCAAUGGGCGAAAGCCUGACGGAGCAACGCCGCGUGAGUGAUGAAGGUCUUCGGAUCGUAAAACUCUGUUAUUAGGGAAGAACAUAUGUGUAAGUAACUGUGCACAUCUUGACGGUACCUAAUCAGAAAGCCACGGCUAACUACGUGCCAGCAGCCGCGGUAAUACGUAGGUGGCAAGCGUUAUCCGGAAUUAUUGGGCGUAAAGCGCGCGUAGGCGGUUUUUUAAGUCUGAUGUGAAAGCCCACGGCUCAACCGUGGAGGGUCAUUGGAAACUGGAAAACUUGAGUGCAGAAGAGGAAAGUGGAAUUCCAUGUGUAGCGGUGAAAUGCGCAGAGAUAUGGAGGAACACCAGUGGCGAAGGCGACUUUCUGGUCUGUAACUGACGCUGAUGUGCGAAAGCGUGGGGAUCAAACAGGAUUAGAUACCCUGGUAGUCCACGCCGUAAACGAUGAGUGCUAAGUGUUAGGGGGUUUCCGCCCCUUAGUGCUGCAGCUAACGCAUUAAGCACUCCGCCUGGGGAGUACGACCGCAAGGUUGAAACUCAAAGGAAUUGACGGGGACCCGCACAAGCGGUGGAGCGUGUGGUUUAAUUCGAAGCAACGCGAAGAACCUUACCAAAUCUUGACAUCCUUUGACAACUCUAGAGAUGGAGCCUUCCCCUUCGGGGGACAAAGUGACAGGUGGUGCAUGGUUGUCGUCAGCUCGUGUCGUGAGAUGUUGGGUUAAGUCCCGCAACGAGCGCAACCCUUAAGCUUAGUUGCCAUCAUUAAGUUGGGCACUCUAAGUUGACUGCCGGUGACAGACCGGAGGAAGGUGGGGAUGACGUCAAAUCAUCAUGCCCCUUAUGAUUUGGGCUACACACGUGCUACAAUGGACAAUACAAAGGGCAGCGAAACCGCGAGGUCAAGCAAAUCCCAUAAAGUUGUUCUCAGUUCGGAUUGUAGUCUGCAACUCGACUACAUGAAGCUGGAAUCGCUAGUAAUCGUAGAUCAGCAUGCUACGGUGAAUACGUUCCCGGGUCU